CCUACGGGAGGCAGCAGUAGGGAAUCUUCCACAAUGGGCGAAAGCCUGAUGGAGCAACGCCGCGUGGGUGAAGAAGGUCUUCGGAUCGUAAAACCCUGUUGUUAGAGAAGAAAGUGCGUGAGAGUAACUGUUCACGUUUCGACGGUAUCUACCCAGAAAGCCACGGCUAACUACGUGCCAGCAGCCGCGGUAAUACGUAGGUGGCAAGCGUUAUCCGGAUUUAUUGGGCGUAAAGGGAACGCAGGCGGUCUUUUAAGUCUGAUGUGAAAGCCUUCGGCUUAACCGGAGUAGUGCAUUGGAAACGGGGAGACUGGAGUGCAGAAGAGGAGAGUGGAACUCCAUGUGUAGCGGUGAAAUGCGUAGAUAUAUGGAAGAACACCAGUGGCGAAAGCGGCUCUCUGGUCUGUAACUGACGCUGAGGUUCGAAAGCGUGGGUAGCAAACAGGAUUAGAUACCCUAGUAGUC
This 465-nucleotide ribosomal RNA is filed under the name uncultured bacterium. Its description in RNAcentral is "partial 16S ribosomal RNA". It matches the Rfam family "Bacterial small subunit ribosomal RNA", at positions 338 to 795 of the family's 1533-position model. The record is from RNAcentral.